AGGAGCUUGCUCUUGUGGAUCAGUGGCGAACGGGUGAGUAACACGUGAGCAACCUGCCCCUGACUCUGGGAUAAGCGCUGGAAACGGCGUCUAAUACUGGAUAUGUGACGUGACCGCAUGGUCUGCGUUUGGAAAGAUUUUUCGGUUGGGGAUGGGCUCGCGGCCUAUCAGCUUGUUGGUGAGGUAAUGGCUCACCAAGGCGUCGACGGGUAGCCGGCCUGAGAGGGUGACCGGCCACACUGGGACUGAGACACGGCCCAGACUCCUACGGGAGGCAGCAGUGGGGAAUAUUGCACAAUGGGCGAAAGCCUGAUGCAGCAACGCCGCGUGAGGGAUGACGGCCUUCGGGUUGUAAACCUCUUUUAGCAGGGAAGAAGCGAAAGUGACGGUACCUGCAGAAAAAGCGCCGGCUAACUACGUGCCAGCAGCCGCGGUAAUACGUAGGGCGCAAGCGUUAUCCGGAAUUAUUGGGCGUAAAGAGCUCGUAGGCGGUUUGUCGCGUCUGCUGUGAAAUCCCGAGGCUCAACCUCGGGCCUGCAGUGGGUACGGGCAGACUAGAGUGCGGUAGGGGAGAUUGGAAUUCCUGGUGUAGCGGUGGAAUGCGCAGAUAUCAGGAGGAACACCGAUGGCGAAGGCAGAUCUCUGGGCCGUAACUGACGCUGAGGAGCGAAAGGGUGGGGAGCAAACAGGCUUAGAUACCCUGGUAGUCCACCCCGUAAACGUUGGGAACUAGUUGUGGGGUCCAUUCCACGGAUUCCGUGACGCAGCUAACGCAUUAAGUUCCCCGCCUGGGGAGUACGGCCGCAAGGCUAAAACUCAAAGGAAUUGACGGGGACCCGCACAAGCGGCGGAGCAUGCGGAUUAAUUCGAUGCAACGCGAAGAACCUUACCAAGGCUUGACAUAUACGAGAACGGGCCAGAAAUGGUCAACUCUUUGGACACUCGUAAACAGGUGGUGCAUGGUUGUCGUCAGCUCGUGUCGUGAGAUGUUGGGUUAAGUCCCGCAACGAGCGCAACCCUCGUUCUAUGUUGCCAGCACGUAAUGGUGGGAACUCAUGGGAUACUGCCGGGGUCAACUCGGAGGAAGGUGGGGAUGACGUCAAAUCAUCAUGCCCCUUAUGUCUUGGGCUUCACGCAUGCUACAAUGGCCGGUACAAAGGGCUGCAAUACCGUGAGGUGGAGCGAAUCCCAAAAAGCCGGUCCCAGUUCGGAUUGAGGUCUGCAACUCGACCUCAUGAAGUCGGAGUCGCUAGUAAUCGCAGAUCAGCAACGCUGCGGUGAAUACGUUCCCGGGUCUUGUACACACCGCCCGUCAAGUCAUGAAAGUCGGUAACACCUGAAGCCGGUGGCCUAA
This 1354-nucleotide ribosomal RNA is filed under the name Actinomycetes bacterium. Its description in RNAcentral is "bacterial SSU rRNA". It matches the Rfam family "Bacterial small subunit ribosomal RNA", at positions 74 to 1438 of the family's 1533-position model. Lineage: Bacteria; Bacillati; Actinomycetota; Actinomycetes. The record is from RNAcentral.